This is a non-coding RNA of Melozone crissalis (California towhee), 519 nucleotides long. Lineage: Eukaryota; Metazoa; Chordata; Aves; Passeriformes; Passerellidae. The record is from the annotation of a RefSeq genome assembly.
AUGUUCUGGGUGCGCCAGAGACCCGGGCAGGGGCUGGAGUUGGUCGCCCACAUCACCUACAAUGGAGGCUACACCAUCUACAGUCCGUUUGGAGAUGGGGCAGCAGCCGUGACCCUGCUGGAUUGCGGGGGGGAACUGCAGCCCCCCGGGGGUUCCCUGCGCCUCCUCUGCCAAGGGUCUGGAUUCGAUUUUGGUAAAUUUGCAAUGCUCUGGAUCCGCCAGAGCCCCGGGCAGGGGCUGCAGUGGGUGGCCGCCAUCGACAGCCACGGCAUAUACAACACUGGUGGCACCACCUACUACAAUCCAUCAGUCAAGGGCCGGUUCACGAUCUCCAGGGACAACGGGCAGAGCUCGGUGACGCUGACCAUGAACAACCUCAAGGACGAGGAUUCCGCCACCUAUUUCUGUGCCAAGAGUGCUGGUGCUGGUUGGGCUGAAAGUGAUCAUGGUGCUGCCACCGCUGCGGAUGUAGGCGACGAAUUCCAGCCCCUGCCCGGGUCUCUGACGGACCCAUUGUAG